GACGAACGCUGGCGGCGUGCCUAACACAUGCAAGUCGAGCGAAUGAAGUUCCUUCGGGAACGGAUUUAGCGGCGGACGGGUGAGUAACACGUGGGCAACCUGCCUCAUAGAGGGGAAUAGCCUUCCGAAAGGGAGAUUAAUACCGCAUAAGAUUGUAGUACCGCAUGGUACAGCAAUUAAAGGAGUAAUCCGCUAUGAGAUGGGCCCCGCGGCGCAUUAGCUAGUUGGUGAGGUAACGGCUCACCAAGGCGACGAUGCGUAGCCGACCUGAGAGGGUGAUCGGCCACAUUGGGACUGAGACACGGCCCAGACUCCUACGGGAGGCAGCAGUGGGGAAUAUUGCACAAUGGGGGAAACCCUGAUGCAGCAACGCCGCGUGAGUGAUGACGGCCUCGGUUGUAAAGGCUCUCGUCUUCUAGGGACGAGUAAUGACGGUA
This 437-nucleotide ribosomal RNA is filed under the name uncultured bacterium. RNAcentral's name for it is "bacterial SSU rRNA". It matches the Rfam family "Bacterial small subunit ribosomal RNA", at positions 28 to 477 of the family's 1533-position model. The record is from RNAcentral.